Molecule: ribosomal RNA, 776 nt
Filed under: Ralstonia sp. M47C13
Lineage: Bacteria; Pseudomonadati; Pseudomonadota; Betaproteobacteria; Burkholderiales; Burkholderiaceae
Description: bacterial SSU rRNA
Rfam family: Bacterial small subunit ribosomal RNA
Source: RNAcentral
UGCAGUCGAACGGCAGCAUGAUCUAGCUUGCUAGAUUGAUGGCGAGUGGCGAACGGGUGAGUAAUACAUCGGAACGUGCCCUGUAGUGGGGGAUAACUAGUCGAAAGAUUAGCUAAUACCGCAUACGACCUGAGGGUGAAAGUGGGGGACCGCAAGGCCUCAUGCUAUAGGAGCGGCCGAUGUCUGAUUAGCUAGUUGGUGGGGUAAAGGCCCACCAAGGCGACGAUCAGUAGCUGGUCUGAGAGGACGAUCAGCCACACUGGGACUGAGACACGGCCCAGACUCCUACGGGAGGCAGCAGUGGGGAAUUUUGGACAAUGGGCGAAAGCCUGAUCCAGCAAUGCCGCGUGUGUGAAGAAGGCCUUCGGGUUGUAAAGCACUUUUGUCCGGAAAGAAAUGGCUCUGGUUAAUACCUGGGGUCGAUGACGGUACCGGAAGAAUAAGGACCGGCUAACUACGUGCCAGCAGCCGCGGUAAUACGUAGGGUCCAAGCGUUAAUCGGAAUUACUGGGCGUAAAGCGUGCGCAGGCGGUUGUGCAAGACCGAUGUGAAAUCCCCGAGCUUAACUUGGGAAUUGCAUUGGUGACUGCACGGCUAGAGUGUGUCAGAGGGGGGUAGAAUUCCACGUGUAGCAGUGAAAUGCGUAGAGAUGUGGAGGAAUACCGAUGGCGAAGGCAGCCCCCUGGGAUAACACUGACGCUCAUGCACGAAAGCGUGGGGAGCAAACAGGAUUAGAUACCCUGGUAGUCCACGCCCUAAACGAUGUCAACUAGUUG